GGAAGACAGACCCAGGGAACUGAAACAUCUAAGUACCUGGAGGAAGAGAAAGCAAAUGCGAUUUCCUGAGUAGCGGCGAGCGAAACGGAAUCUAGCCCAAACCAAGAGGCUUGCCUCUUGGGGGUGUAGGACAUUCUAUACGGAGUUACAAAGGAACGAGGUAGACGAAGCGACCUGGAAAGGUCCGUCGUAGAGGGUAACAACCCCGUAGUCGAAACUUCGUUCUCUCUUGAAUGUAUCCUGAGUACGGCGGAACACGUGAAAUUCCGUCGGAAUCUGGGAGGACCAUCUCCCAAGGCUAAAUACUCCCUAGUGAUCGAUAGUGAACCAGUACCGUGAGGGAAAGGUGAAAAGCACCCC
This 360-nucleotide ribosomal RNA is filed under the name Bacillus toyonensis. Its description in RNAcentral is "partial 23S ribosomal RNA". It matches the Rfam family "Bacterial large subunit ribosomal RNA", at positions 174 to 527 of the family's 2925-position model. Lineage: Bacteria; Bacillati; Bacillota; Bacilli; Caryophanales; Bacillaceae. The record is from RNAcentral.